RNAcentral lists this non-coding RNA (29 nucleotides) under Rattus norvegicus (Norway rat). The record is from RNAcentral. Lineage: Eukaryota; Metazoa; Chordata; Mammalia; Rodentia; Muridae.
UAAUCAUAUGAGGGCUGUGAAAAGAGGGA